RNAcentral lists this ribosomal RNA (231 nucleotides) under uncultured bacterium. RNAcentral describes it as "partial 16S ribosomal RNA". It matches the Rfam family "Bacterial small subunit ribosomal RNA", at positions 118 to 347 of the family's 1533-position model. The record is from RNAcentral.
UGGGCAACCUGCCCCUCUCUCUGGGAUAACCCCGGGAAACCGGAGCUAAUACCGGAUACUCCGGCUGGAUCGCAUGGUCCGGCCGGGAAAGGUCCGCCGGAGAGGGAUGGGCCCGCGGCCUAUCAGCUUGUUGGUGGGGUCAUGGCUCACCAAGGCGACGACGGGUAGCUGGUCUGAGAGGACGACCAGCCACACUGGAACUGAGACACGGUCCAGACUCCUACGGGAGCA